UUAUUUUAUUAGGUUUUGAUUUUUAUUAUAUCUUCACAUGAAAAUCAAAACCUAAAGAAAAUG
Molecule: microRNA precursor, 63 nt
Filed under: Pterocles gutturalis (yellow-throated sandgrouse)
Lineage: Eukaryota; Metazoa; Chordata; Aves; Pterocliformes; Pteroclidae
Description: mir-737 microRNA precursor family
Rfam family: mir-737 microRNA precursor family
Source: Rfam by way of RNAcentral